CCUAAAGACACAGGAGUUGGCAGCACUAAGUACCUCUGGAACUGGUGAGGGGUGGGAUGGGGGGUGAGAUUGGAACUCAGAUAAGGAGGGUUGUGUGAACGCUAAGUGAGAAAGAUAGAUUUCCCACUCCAUUUCAUUGGUUGACUGCCUGUCCCUCAUCUUAGGAGAAGAUUCAAGUUAUAUUCUCUGGAGAAGGUAAAACAGAGAGGUUCUGCGCUGGAGGAUGGCAGGAAGAGGAAGAGACUGGAGUCUGCUGUCUGCCAUGUGAGGACACAGCCAGAAGACAGUCUUCUGAAUACCAGGAUGGGAGCUCUCACCAGAACCUGACCAUGCUGCCACCCUGAUCUUGGACUUCCAGCCUCAAGAAUUCUUUCUCCCAAUCAUUUCAACAAGUCUGAUGAAGGCUCCAGAGUUUCAGUUGCAUAAGUUGCUUGCAGACUCUUGACAACGGUGGAAAGAAGAGCAAAUAAGGUCGCUGUCGCCCACACCUCAACUCAGACUUAUUGAAUUAGAAUUACUGGGGCAACUUCCCUAGGUCUUUAGCCUGCUAUAAUCAUGGAAAGAAGGGGAUUCCUUGUUGCUGCUUUGGUCUUUUGGUUUCUAGGUUUUUCUUCAUUUGCUUCUGGGAGGAAACACUAUGAAGGCAAGAGUGCUGGCUUCCUAAGGAGAGAGUCAGAAGAUGAGCUGCAGAUUUCAACCCUGCCACUACUUGUGUGAACCCAGACAAGUCCUUUAGUAUCUCCAGCUCUCAGACAGGUUGCUUCAGCUCUUUGGGGCUCACAUUUUCUCAUCUGCAACGUAAGUGGAUUAAAAGACAGGAUCCAGGACCCUUCCAGACUGCAGACACUGCUAUACUCUGAAAUUUGGAACGGCAGCUAGCUUUGGAGACUGGAAGCCCUGGAUGUGCAUCUCAGAUUCACCACUUUCUAGUUGGCUGAGCCAAUCUUCAGACAGGCCAGGUAACCCGAGCCUCUGUAAAGUGGGGAUCACAGCUACUCUAUGAAGUUGUGAGAGAGAGAAUGUUGUCAUUGGACAUGUCGAGUUGCCUCAUGAACACAAACACAUCCAACUUCCAAAGAUUGAACUACGCGUGUUUAGUAAACCAAACCAAAACAUUUAAAACGAUAGUUUUCUCUUUUUAACUCUGAAGUUAAUGCAUUUUCACAGCCCUAAUUCCAUUCUCAAUCGUUCCCAAUCUUUUAAAAGUGAUUUGGAAAUAAGCAUGUUGUUGCUGACACGCUUUUAGAAGGAGGAAAUUAACACAUGAGUGUGUGCUGUGCACUAGACUCUAAUCGAGGUCUUUCCUCAUUAACAUAGCUGAUUCUCAUAACAACUCCAUGAAAUAGGAGUGAUUUUCCAGAAAGAAACUGAGGCUCAGAGAUGAACUUGUAGGGGGAAAAAGCCCCUAAAAAGCCUAGUCUAACUGUAAAACCCUGCUCUUUUUACUCAUCAUGCCAGGCUGCACUUUAAACGUG
RNAcentral lists this long non-coding RNA (1475 nucleotides) under Equus caballus (horse). RNAcentral's name for it is "lncRNA (ENSECAG00000056603.1)". Lineage: Eukaryota; Metazoa; Chordata; Mammalia; Perissodactyla; Equidae. The record is from RNAcentral.